This is a long non-coding RNA of Trichechus manatus latirostris (Florida manatee), 1105 nucleotides long. RefSeq lists it as uncharacterized. The record is from RefSeq and is a predicted model, not a curated record. The transcript is spliced from 4 exons. Lineage: Eukaryota; Metazoa; Chordata; Mammalia; Sirenia; Trichechidae.
CCCCGUGGCAGGGUGGGCUCUUGAAUAAUGAGCAGUGAAAUGACCAAUGGCAGACUACAAGAGAAGUCAUUCAGAGGCCUGGCCACUGUAUGGUUACCAUGAAGAAACCUGCAUAGCUUGACUUCCUGUCUUCACUCGCCUAUCCCUACGAUAAACUUCCCGUCCCUUGUGGAAAAUUAAGUGCGUGGUAUCUCCAAAGAUAAACAAAAGACCCAGCCAUGUCUAUAUACCUACCUGCAGCUUCCAAACGAAAAUGUGUCUUGCCUGUCUGCAGCAGACUUUGCCUGGAACCCAUCUCCACACCUGGCUUUGAAAUCUCACCUCUGUAAUGAGCACCAUCCCUUCCUCUGACCACCGUGCAUUUGGAAUUUGCAAACGCCAGGACCUUGUGUUCACGGUACAAUUAGCACUAGGUGCUUCAGGGCCUCUAGCAAAAGUUGCCAGAUUGUUUCAACCACAUACCAGACAAAUGCCAAAAACUUAUGACUUCUCCUAAAUUACAUUUGUGAUAUAGGUCAUUUAUUGACAGUCAACAAUACAUCUUAUAUAUUGCAAUAGAUUCUGCAGCUUUCUUAAAUUUUUUUUUUUUUGUAAAGUCAGUUUUGCUACCAAACAUGUUAAACUGUGUGUGCAUGGGUAUGUGCACACUCACCACUCCAUCCUACUGCAUUCAUCUGACCACAGUUACACUUGACAUUGAUGUAGCCUAUUUUUAGAAAGCUGCAAUAGAUUCUGUUUAAAAAAAUGAGCUUAUAGGUUUUAGAAUAUAUAUCAAAUUACAAAUGCACUCAUCUUUCACCAAGUAUUUUUACUUCUGUUAUACAGACAUUCCUACAGAUGUGUGAUAUGACAUGGGUACAGGGUUAUUCACUGGAGCAUUGCCUGUAAGAACAAAAUAACUUAAAAAAAAUCAUCAUCAUGAGACUGGUUUAGAAAACUGCAGUACAUUCUCACAAGGAGAUAAUGUAGUUAUAAAAAGGAAGCUGUGUAUGUAUUGAUAUGAAACAAUUCCUAAGACAUGAUGUUAAGAAAGCAAGGUGUACGAUUAAUUAGUGUAGUAUGCUUGUAUAAGAAAAGAAUACGUAAAGAAUAUGUGUAUGUAUAU